GAUGAACGCUGGCGGCGUGCCUAAUACAUGCAAGUCGAACGAAACUUCUUUAUCACCGAGUGCUUGCACUCACCGAUAAAGAGUUGAGUGGCGAACGGGUGAGUAACACGUGGGCAACCUGCCCAAAAGAGGGGGAUAACACUUGGAAACAGGUGCUAAUACCGCAUAACCAUAGUUACCGCACGGUAACUAUGUAAAAGGUGGCUAUACUACCGCUUUUGGAUGGGCCCGCGGCGCAUUAGCUAGUUGGUAGGGUAAAGGCUUACCAAGGCAAUGAUGCGUAGCCGAAUUGAGAGGUUGAUCGGCCACAUUGGGACUGAGACACGGCCCAAACUCCUACGGGAGGCAGCAGUAGGGAAUCUUCGACAAUGGGCGAAAGCCUGAUGGAGCAACGCCGCGUGGGUGAAGAAGGUCUUCGGAUCGUAAAACCCUGUUGUUAGAGAAGAAAGUGCGUGAGAGUAACUGUUCACGUUUCGACGGUAUCUAACCAGAAAGCCACGGCUAACUACGUG
Molecule: ribosomal RNA, 512 nt
Filed under: uncultured bacterium
Lineage: Bacteria
Description: partial 16S ribosomal RNA
Rfam family: Bacterial small subunit ribosomal RNA
Source: RNAcentral